Molecule: ribosomal RNA, 292 nt
Filed under: uncultured bacterium
Lineage: Bacteria
Description: partial 16S ribosomal RNA
Rfam family: Bacterial small subunit ribosomal RNA
Source: RNAcentral
GUGUCAGCAGCCGCGGUAAGACGAACCGUGCGAACGUUGUUCGGAAUCACUGGGCUUAAAGGGCGCGUAGGCGGGCUGCCAAGUUCGGGGUGAAAUCCUCCCGCUCAACGGGAGAACGGCCCCGAAUACUGGCGGUCUCGAGGGAGGUAGGGGCGUGCGGAACUAUGGGUGGAGCGGUGAAAUGCGUUGAUAUCCAUAGGAACUCCGGUGGCGAAGGCGGCACGCUGGACCUCUUCUGACGCUGAGGCGCGAAAGCCAGGGGAGCAAACGGGAUUAGAUACCCCCGUAGUCC